Long non-coding RNA from Onychostruthus taczanowskii (white-rumped snowfinch), 224 nucleotides. RefSeq lists it as uncharacterized. The record is from RefSeq and is a predicted model, not a curated record. Lineage: Eukaryota; Metazoa; Chordata; Aves; Passeriformes; Passeridae. The transcript has 3 exons.
ACAGUGACACAGGUGACACAGGUGACAGGUGACACGCGGGUGGUCGGUGGCCACGCCUGCGUCCCGCACUCGCAGCCCUGGCAGGUGGCCGUGCUGGACAUGUACAAGCUCUACUGCGGGGGAGUGCUGGUGGCACCGCGCUGGGUGGUGACCGCGGCGCACUGCACCACACCAGGGGUGACCACGGUGGCGCUGGGCAAGCACCGGCUGUACGCGCGCGAGGC